This 352-nucleotide ribosomal RNA is filed under the name Isochrysis galbana. RNAcentral's name for it is "partial Bacterial small subunit ribosomal RNA". It matches the Rfam family "Bacterial small subunit ribosomal RNA", at positions 1 to 353 of the family's 1533-position model. The record is from RNAcentral. Lineage: Eukaryota; Haptophyta; Isochrysidales; Isochrysidaceae.
ACGUAGAGUUUGAUCCUGGCUCAGGAUGAACGCUAGCGGCAGGCUUAACACAUGCAAGUCGAGGGGUAACAGGAGUGCUUGCACUCGCUGACGACCGGCGCACGGGUGCGUAACGCGUAUAGAACCUACCUUUUACUGAGGGAUAGCCUUUAGAAAUGAAGAUUAAUACCUCAUGGUAUUUUAGAUUGGCAUCGAUUUAGAAUUAAAGAUUUAUUGGUAAAAGAUGGCUAUGCGUUCUAUUAGCUAGAUGGUAAGGUAACGGCUUACCAUGGCAACGAUAGAUAGGGGCCCUGAGAGGGGGAUCCCCCACACUGGUACUGAGACACGGACCAGACUCCUACGGGAGGCAGCA